UACGUAGGGGGCAAGCGUUAUCCGGAUUUACUGGGUGUAAAGGGAGCGCAGACGGAUCAUCAAGUCUGAUGUGAAAACCCGGGGCUCAACCCCGGGACUGCAUUGGAAACUGGAGAUCUGGAGUGUCGGAGAGGUAAGCGGAAUUCCUAGUGUAGCGGUGAAAUGCGUAGAUAUUAGGAGGAACACCGGUGGCGAAGGCGGCUUACUGGACGAUAACUGACGUUGAGGCUCGAAAGCGUGGGGAGCAAAC
This 250-nucleotide ribosomal RNA is filed under the name uncultured prokaryote. RNAcentral's name for it is "partial 16S ribosomal RNA". It matches the Rfam family "Bacterial small subunit ribosomal RNA", at positions 524 to 773 of the family's 1533-position model. The record is from RNAcentral.